RNAcentral lists this ribosomal RNA (463 nucleotides) under uncultured bacterium. RNAcentral's name for it is "bacterial SSU rRNA". It matches the Rfam family "Bacterial small subunit ribosomal RNA", at positions 331 to 792 of the family's 1533-position model. The record is from RNAcentral.
CCAGACUCCUACGGGAGGCAGCAGUGAGGAAUAUUGGUCAAUGGCCGCAGGGCUGAACCAGCCAAGUCGCGUGAGGGAUGACGGUCCUAUGGAUUGUAAACCUCUUUUGUCGGGGAGCAAAAGACGCCACGUGUGGCGUUCCGAGAGUACCCGAAGAAAAAGCAUCGGCUAACUCCGUGCCAGCAGCCGCGGUAAUACGGAGGAUGCGAGCGUUAUCCGGAUUUAUUGGGUUUAAAGGGUGCGCAGGCGGAAGAUCAAGUCAGCGGUAAAAUUGAGGGGCUCAACCUCUUCGAGCCGUUGAAACUGGUUUUCUUGAGUGAGCGAGAAGUAUGCGGAAUGCGUGGUGUAGCGGUGAAAUGCAUAGAUAUCACGCAGAACCCCGAUUGCGAAGGCAGCAUACCGGUGCACAACUGACGCUCAGGCACGAAAGCGUGGGUAUCGAACAGGAUUAGAUACCCUCGUA